AUUGAACGCUGGCAGCAGGCCUAACACAUGCAAGUCGAGCGGAUGAAGGGAGCUUGCUCCUGGAUUCAGCGACGGACGGGUGAGUAAUGCCUAGGAAUCUGCCUGGUAGUGGGGGAUAACGUCCGGAAACGGGCGCUAAUACCGCAUACGUCCUGAGGGAGAAAGUGGGGGAUCUUCGGACCUCACGCUAUCAGAUGAGCCUAGGUCGGAUUAGCUAGUUGGUGGGGUAAAGGCCUACCAAGGCGACGAUCCGUAACUGGUCUGAGAGGAUGAUCAGUCACACUGGAACUGAGACACGGUCCAGACUCCUACGGGAGGCAGCAGUGGGGAAUAUUGGACAAUGGGCGAAAGCCUGAUCCAGCCAUGCCGCGUGUGUGAAGAAGGUCUUCGGAUUGUAAAGCACUUUAAGUUGGGAGGAAGGGCAGUAAGUUAAUACCUUGCUGUUUUGACGUUACCAACAGAAUAAGCACCGGCUAACUUCGUG
Molecule: ribosomal RNA, 484 nt
Filed under: uncultured bacterium
Lineage: Bacteria
Description: partial 16S ribosomal RNA
Rfam family: Bacterial small subunit ribosomal RNA
Source: RNAcentral